RNAcentral lists this long non-coding RNA (905 nucleotides) under Chrysemys picta bellii (western painted turtle). RNAcentral's name for it is "lncRNA (ENSCPBG00000007814.1)". The record is from RNAcentral. Lineage: Eukaryota; Metazoa; Chordata; Testudines; Emydidae.
UUCAAGCUAUAGUGAAUGAAACAUUUUUGACUUUUGUAAUAUAAUGUUAAUUACCAAAUAUCUCUAUUUAUACAAAAGUUGCAUGUAUUUUCAUAAAUUUACUACUAGUAGGGCUCUCAAGUGGUCAGGAUGUAAAUAAGAGAUUUUUAAAAAAAAGGAGAAAAUGAAUUUUGGUAAUCAGAGAAAAGAUUUCUCCUAGUAAUUCAUUCUAACAAUGUGGUAUUAAAAACUGCCCUGCCUGUCGUAUGAAUUUGCUGGUUUAACUUCAAACCUGAUAGUUCUUAUUUCAUACUGUGAUUUCUGUCUUUUCUGAUCCCCUUCAUACCUUCUUCCACUGGAGGUCCUGACUGUAGAUCAUUUUAUUUCUUUAAUACCAGCCCCAAAGUGCUCUUUGUAAUCAUUAUGUUUUGAAUUUGAUGUUUUAUUCUGGCAUUGCUGCAUCUAUCAGAUGCUGCCAAGCUGUGUAUUGAGAUUUCCUCUCCAUGUUGCUUUUCCAUGCCAUGGCUGAAUCAACUCUUCUUUUCACAGAGUUUGUCAUUCACUGGUUGGCUCAUAAUCAAUGCUGUCAAGUGAUAUGAAAAGUAUUGGGAAGAGGGAAUAAGAAGUGAGCUGCAUCCACAGAGGUGUGUGUGAUAAAAGGCUCCGCUUGCACACCAGGAUCCAGGAAUUCCCAAAAGAAAUUUUUUGUUCAGAAAAGCAGAGCGGGAGUACAGUGCACUCAGCUUCAUUGGAAACUGUCUCCACCUUCAACUAAAAAGGAAGAUGGGGAUAUAAUUCACCUGACACACUUGAAGCAGCUGUCAUUUGGCUAGCUGACAGAGAGACAAGACAAUAGGGUAAGUAGAACCUAUUGUUUUGUUACUAUAGACUGUUUGUUUAUUUUUCCUUGUCCUCUGGCUAAAUAA